This 253-nucleotide ribosomal RNA is filed under the name uncultured bacterium. RNAcentral describes it as "partial 16S ribosomal RNA". It matches the Rfam family "Bacterial small subunit ribosomal RNA", at positions 524 to 776 of the family's 1533-position model. The record is from RNAcentral.
UACGUAGGUGACAAGCGUUGUCCGGAUUUACUGGGCGUAAAGAGCGCGCAGGCGGUCGAUCAAGUCGAGUGUGAAAGCCCCCGGCUCAACUGGGGAGGGUCAUUCGAUACUGAUCGACUCGAAGGCAGGAGAGGGUAGUGGAAUUCCCGGUGUAGUGGUGAAAUGCGUAGAUAUCGGGAGGAACACCAGUGGCGAAGGCGGCUUCCUGGACCUGUUCUGACACUGAGGAGCGAAAGCGUGGGGAGCGAUCCGG